AGCUUACCAGGUCAAAGGUGGCAGCCCUGAGCUCUUUAUUGCAGUUAUCUGGCCGUUUGCAGCUCGUAAUGGCACAGGUUGGUUACUUAAAUAGUAAAAGAAAUUUGGCAGUCCAGUACAUGUUCUCACACGAACCCUUCUCUGUUCUUACUUUUCAGAUCGAGAAGGCUGAUAAUAGGAAAAGCCCCGCACUAACACUCGAGGGACGGAUGGAUGAAAGUGAGGAUGAUGAGGUAGAUGAAGUUAUGUAUGGCAUAGAUGAAGAAUCUCAAACAAGCAGUGACGGAGAUGACUAGGAGUAUGACCAUCUUUAUUGCUGAGCACUUGCAUAAGGGUUUUCUUCUCUCUCUCUCUCUCUCUCACACACACACACACACACAAUGUUUUUUAGAUUCUGUUUGAUCUUUCUGCUUAUGCUUGACUGUAGUCACCAAGUGAAAUUGGCAUUUUAUAUUGGCCUCACAUUUGAAACUGAAAAUAAGCCAGAUUUGAGAUUUGCAUUUGUGAUAUGCUGACUAGAUACGAGAUCUCUGAUUAACAUAUAUGCAAGAUCUGCCUAAGGAACAAUAUACAGGGUAAGAAAUUAUAGAUUCAAACAUAUAAAUAAAAAAGGAAGAAGAAAAUAAAG
RNAcentral lists this long non-coding RNA (628 nucleotides) under Nicotiana tabacum (common tobacco). RNAcentral describes it as "long non-coding RNA (NTAB_LNC018191)". Lineage: Eukaryota; Viridiplantae; Streptophyta; Magnoliopsida; Solanales; Solanaceae. The record is from RNAcentral.